Molecule: long non-coding RNA, 1208 nt
Organism: Oncorhynchus tshawytscha (Chinook salmon)
Lineage: Eukaryota; Metazoa; Chordata; Actinopteri; Salmoniformes; Salmonidae
Exons: 3
Source: RefSeq, a predicted model, not a curated record
GGAACACAAGUAUAUAUAGAUUAUAUACAAUGGACAAUCGAGCUAGGGGGUACAAUAUCACAUUACAAUUACACAAGGACCUUAAGGGACAUACAUACACUUACAACAAAUCAAUGCAGAAAGUUACAGAAUUCUAACAGCUUUUUUGUUAGUAGAGUAUUUAGCUGUCUUAAAAUAUAGUUCAAUUUCUUUUAGUCGACUUUGCGAGGGUAAAAUUAGGUUCGCUCCGGGGACCUGAAACUCCCCAUAAUUAAAUUCGCGACGAUUGUACAUCCGCUAAGAAAAGUCAGAGAAAACAUAACAUCAAUGGAGAAGUCCACCUUACAAGUGGUCUUGACCUGAAUGCAGCAUCGGCAUCGUAACCGACUUCGGUGGGAAAAUACUCAAAUUCGAUGGCCACUGGCAUACUGGAAAAGUGUACUAAUCACGGAUGAAUCCCGGUUUCAACUGUACCAGGCAGAUGGCAGACUGACGUAAACACUGAUCAGAGUGCCCCGUGAUGGUGGUGGGGAUAUGGUGAACGCCAGAAGCAGCACACCAUCGAUGUGAGCUGGGAGAAGCGAGGCUGUAGAGCCGGAGACGAGGCGAGAACGAGGGCUGUUGUUGGAGCAGACCGGGACCAGUGUUGAAAUGGAGAGAAAAGGCCUUUAUGGGAAUUGGGAGGGUGAACGCUAACCCUUCUCAAAGCUAAGUACCUCCAUAUCCAAUUUUAACUUAGUGCCAGAUAGAGCUGUAUUCCAACAUUCUCUACUCUGUUGCGUGCUUACGCACUCAUUAAUGCCAGUGUGCCUGUGGAUUGAGACUAUAGCUGCAGUGUGACCUGACCGGAGGAGGAACUACGAAUCAACUCUGGAUCAGAUUGACGGCUGCUGGUGAGCGAGAAGAAAUGGAGAGGAGGCCUUUGGGAAAUUGGGAGGGUGAACGCUUCACAUCUUCAUAUUCCAUUUCCAACAUUUCACCUGCUAGCAGUGCCUGCCGACGUUCUCUACUGCUUUGUGUGCUACGCACUUGUUAAUGCCAGUGCAUACACUGUGAACCAGAGAGGAGGCUUGGAACACUGGCUUGGAUCCCUCAGUGUCCCUGCCGUGGUGGGACCACAGAACACUAAGGGCUAUUAAAAUAGGACUUUUGCAUUUGAUAUUUUUGGACUUGUCCACUUCGGACUUAGCCAUUGUUAAAUAAAUAGUGUGGUGUGUGUUUGGAAGGUC